RNAcentral lists this ribosomal RNA (530 nucleotides) under Wiebesia contubernalis. Its description in RNAcentral is "eukaryotic LSU rRNA". It matches the Rfam family "Eukaryotic large subunit ribosomal RNA", at positions 690 to 1163 of the family's 3401-position model. The record is from RNAcentral. Lineage: Eukaryota; Metazoa; Arthropoda; Insecta; Hymenoptera; Agaonidae.
GUUGUUGUUAAAUUACGAUGAAACCUAAAGGCGCAAUGAAAGUGAAGACGGCUCUAGGGUCGAUCGAGGGAGGAUGGCUCGGGCUCGCCCGGGCCCGCACUCCCGGGGCGUCUCACGGUCGUUACGACCAGAGGCGCACCAAGAGCGUACACGUUGGGACCCGAAAGAUGGUGAACUAUGCCUGGUCAGGACGAAGUCAGGGGAAACCCUGAUGGAGGUCCGUAGCGAUUCUGACGUGCAAAUCGAUCGUCGGAACUGGGUAUAGGGGCGAAAGACUAAUCGAACCAUCUAGUAGCUGGUUCCCUCCGAAGUUUCCCUCAGGAUAGCUGGCACUCGCUCGAAAAAACGAGUCUCAUCUGGUAAAGCGAAUGAUUAGAGGCCUUGGGGCCGAAACGACCUCAACCUAUUCUCAAACUUUAAAUGGGUGAGAUCUCUGGCUUGCUUGAAGUUAUGAAGCCACGAGAUUUUUACAAAUAUGGAUCAGAGUGCCAAGUGGGCCAAUUUUGGUAAGCAGAACUGGCGCUGUGGGA